RNAcentral lists this ribosomal RNA (253 nucleotides) under uncultured bacterium. RNAcentral's name for it is "partial 16S ribosomal RNA". It matches the Rfam family "Bacterial small subunit ribosomal RNA", at positions 524 to 776 of the family's 1533-position model. The record is from RNAcentral.
UACGUAGGGUGCGAGCGUUGUCCGGAAUUAUUGGGCGUAAAGAGCUCGUAGGCGGUCUGUCGCGUCUGCUGUGAAAUCCCGAGGCUCAACCUCGGGCCUGCAGCCGAUACGGGCAGACUAGAGUUCGGCAGGGGAGACUGGAAUUCCUGGUGUAGCGGUGAAAUGCGCAGAUAUCAGGAGGAACACCGGUGGCGAAGGCGGGUCUCUGGGCCGAUACUGACGCUGAGGAGCGAAAGCGUGGGGAGCGAACAGG